GGCUGGUCUGAGUGCAGUGGUGUUUACAAUUCAUUGAUCACAGCCAACUACAGAGUUCUUUGUUCCUUCUCUCACACUGCUACCCUUGACUAGCCCCCC
Molecule: unclassified non-coding RNA, 99 nt
Organism: Ursus maritimus (polar bear)
Lineage: Eukaryota; Metazoa; Chordata; Mammalia; Carnivora; Ursidae
Rfam family: Y RNA
About the family: Y RNAs are components of the Ro ribonucleoprotein particle (Ro RNP), in association with Ro60 and La proteins. The Y RNAs and Ro60 and La proteins are well conserved, but the function of the Ro RNP is not known.
Source: Ensembl